CAUUUGGCACCAACUACGCGUCAAGGUAUCUCAACAAGAAUCCUGCUGCCGGAAAGAAGAGCGUGAUCAGUUUGGUGCUUCAGCUGGAGGGGGAGAGCAGGACAUGGGACACGGAGCUGCAGCGCAAGACUGAUCACACGGCGAUUGUUGAAGGAUGGGCGUCUUUCGCCGGUGGCAACCGCCUGCAGGAGGGCGACAUCUGCCUCUUCAAGCUGAUGGAGAGCGAGGAGCCGCUGAAGAUGAUGGUCUACAUCAUUCGUGCUGAGGAGUGUACUUGAGGCAUGGAUGCGCUCUUGCUACUCUGAUUAUCAAGAAUCUGGGAACGGAAAACAAUGUGGCAUCUCCAAACGGGGUCAGAGAGGAAGGAACUUGUUUGUUUUUCUACCGUCGUAGUAGUUAUGUGCGGUCUUUGUUAUCUAGACUCUAUAGUAACUUUGAAUGGUCAAGUUUGAACAACUUAUUAUGUUUUGCUGAGGUGUGAGGCCAUAUGUUUUUCCAUGGUUGAUGUAUUUUAAUUGGCAACACCUCUAUUAUCAUAUUCAUCUUGGUUGCUACAGAAAUACAGGCGCGCCUCCGG
This 577-nucleotide long non-coding RNA is filed under the name Triticum aestivum (bread wheat). Its description in RNAcentral is "long non-coding RNA (TAES_LNC018494)". Lineage: Eukaryota; Viridiplantae; Streptophyta; Magnoliopsida; Poales; Poaceae. The record is from RNAcentral.